RNA transcript from Strigops habroptila (Kakapo), 1590 nucleotides. It is a transcript of the gene named feather keratin Cos1-1/Cos1-3/Cos2-1, with no coding region annotated. NCBI's taxonomy places the organism in Eukaryota, Metazoa, Chordata, Aves, Psittaciformes, Psittacidae. The record is from RefSeq and is a predicted model, not a curated record. The transcript has 4 exons.
CUGGUUACGUUUCAACUGCUGAUGAAACCGCAGCCGGGAGCGGAGGAGUCUUUGGACCUUCCCAUGAGCUCGUAAAAGGCGCCUUCAAGAAGCUUUAGGGAGGAGGAGAAGAAGAAGGAGAAGGGACAAAGGAGCGGCCGGAGGAGGGAGCAGCCCCCGUCCUGGAGCAGGGGGACUUGGGGGGCUGCAGGAAGCCGCUGAAUGUGGAGGGUUUGGGCAAAAUGCUUUCUCUGAAGAAAUACUUCACCGAAGGCCUCAUCCAGUUCACCAUCCUGCUCAGCUUGAUCGGCGUGCACGUGGACGUGGACACCUACCUGAACUCACAGCUCCCCCUGCUCUGGGAGAUCAUCCUUGGCCAGAGCUCCGCUUACACCCAGACCCCGUUUCACAACCUGAGGAACACCUUGGAUGGUUAUGGCAUCCACCCAAAGAGCAUAGACUUGGACUAUUACUUCACUGCUCGCAGGCUGCUCAACGAGGUGAGGGCCCUGGACAGGUUUCAGGUGCCCACCACCGAAGUCAGUGCCUGGUUGGUGCACAGAGACCCCAAAAGCUCCGUGUCUGGUGCUCAGCCCAGUGCUGGCAUCGCCCUCGAGAAUGGCAGCAGCCUCCAGGAUGGGAGCAGCCCCGACAGGGAGCGGAGCUGAGCAAGGCUUUGGGGAAGAACUGGAAGAUCUGGGAGCGGUGGCUGCCCCUGCGGAUGGAGACCUGACCAAAGAGAUGGGCUUCUCAGAAAAUUACUACUUCCACAGCGGAUUCCUCUAGACCCGAGGCAGUGCAGGACCAGUAUAAAAGCCGUCCCAGCCCUUGACUCUCUCAUCCACUCCGCUCACCUUCUUUUCCUUCAGCAGUAAGUGAAGCUCUACCAUCGAGCCAUGUCCUGCUGCAACCCGUGCGUGCCCUGCCAGCCCUGCGGCCCGACCCCACUGGCCAACAGCUGCAAUGAGCCCUGUGUCAGGCAGUGCCAGAGCUCCACCGUCGUCAUUGAGCCUUCCCCCGUGGUGGUGACCCUGCCCGGCCCCAUCCUCAGCUCCUUCCCACAGAACACCGUUGUGGGCUCCUCCACCUCCGCUGCUGUUGGCAGCAUCCUCAGCUGUGAGGGAGUGCCCAUCAACUCCGGGGGCUUUGACCUCUCCUGCAUCACCAACCGCUACUGCUGCAGACCCUGCUAAAGCUGCUGCAGAUGCCCUGUAGAAGGAGACCCAGGAACCCAGGAGAUGGUACCGGACUGAGCAUGAACAUCCUGGCCACUGCUCUCAGAGGCACUGGGCAUCCGUGGCUCCAUCUGCAGAGGAAGGCAGGAGGAGCCAUGCCUGGGCAGUCUGAAAAUGUGGCCCUUGUCUAACUUGCCUGUUCUCUCCCUCUCUUUUUCCUCUCUCUUUUUUCUCUGUUGUCUUCUGCUGCCUGGGCUGUAAUGACCUGCUAAGCCCCAUCUGAGGAGAGACCUGCUGCCUCUCUUCCUCUCAGGGGCAGGCAGACUCCCGGUGCAAACUCCAGCCUGGCCAAGUGCCAUAGAUCUCCCUGCACCAUAGCCCCAGUCAGAGGAACUCCUUUCCCUCUUUCAACUCAUUAAAGUUCUGCUGCAUCCCA